Molecule: ribosomal RNA, 490 nt
Filed under: uncultured bacterium
Lineage: Bacteria
Description: partial 16S ribosomal RNA
Rfam family: Bacterial small subunit ribosomal RNA
Source: RNAcentral
AUUGAACGCUGGCGGCAGGCCUAACACAUGCAAGUCGAACGGUAACAGGAAGAAGCUUGCUUCUUUGCUGACGAGUGGCGGACGGGUGAGUAAUGUCUGGGAAACUGCCUGAUGGAGGGGGAUAACUACUGGAAACGGUAGCUAAUACCGCAUAACGUCGCAAGACCAAAGAGGGGGACCUUCGGGCCUCUUGCCAUCGGGUGUGCCCAGAUGGGAUUAGCUUGUUGGUGGGGUAACGGCUCACCAAGGCGACGAUCCCUAGCUGGUCUGAGAGGAUGACCAGCCACACUGGAACUGAGACACGGUCCAGACUCCUACGGGAGGCAGCAGUGGGGAAUAUUGCACAAUGGGCGCAAGCCUGAUGCAGCCAUGCCGCGUGUAUGAAGAAGGCCUUCGGGUUGUAAAGUACUUUCAGCGGGGAGGAAGGGAGUAAAGUUAAUACCUUGGCUCAUUGACGUUACCCGCAGAAGAAGCACCGGCUAACUCCGUG